This 468-nucleotide ribosomal RNA is filed under the name uncultured bacterium. RNAcentral's name for it is "partial 16S ribosomal RNA". It matches the Rfam family "Bacterial small subunit ribosomal RNA", at positions 28 to 507 of the family's 1533-position model. The record is from RNAcentral.
GACGAACGCUGGCGGCGUGCUUAACACAUGCAAGUCGAACGGAAAGGCCCUGCUUUUGUGGGGUGCUCGAGUGGCGAACGGGUGAGUAACACGUGAGUAACCUGCCCUUGACUUUGGGAUAACUUCAGGAAACUGGGGCUAAUACCGGAUAGGAGCUCCUGCUGCAUGGUGGGGGUUGGAAAGUUUCGGCGGUUGGGGAUGGACUCGCGGCUUAUCAGCUUGUUGGUGGGGUAGUGGCUUACCAAGGCUUUGACGGGUAGCCGGCCUGAGAGGGUGACCGGCCACAUUGGGACUGAGAUACGGCCCAGACGCCUACGGUAGGCAGCAGUGGGGAAUAUUGCACAAUGGGCGGAAGCCUGAUGCAGCAACGCCGCGUUCGGGAUGACGGCCUUCGGGUUGUAAACCGCUUUCGCCUGUGACGAAGCGUGAGUGACGGUAAUGGGUAAAGAAGCACCGGCUAACUACGUG